Molecule: small nucleolar RNA, 106 nt
Organism: Humulus lupulus (European hop)
Lineage: Eukaryota; Viridiplantae; Streptophyta; Magnoliopsida; Rosales; Cannabaceae
Source: RefSeq, a predicted model, not a curated record
AUUUGAUGGUGAUGGCAGCUGCACAUAAUCUCUUGAACUGCUCCCAAUACUCAUACAAUGGCUCCCCAGUCUAUUAGAGAAUGCCAAAGAUUUCAUUCCUUAUACU